UACGGAGGGUCCAAGCGUUAUCCGGAUUCAUUGGGUUUAAAGGGUCCGUAGGUGGAAAAAUAAGUCAGUGGUGAAAUCCUGCAGCUUAACUGUAGAACUGCCAUUGAAACUGUUUUUCUUGAAUAUAGAUGAAGUGGGCGGAAUGUGUCAUGUAGCGGUGAAAUGCAUAGAUAUGACACAGAACACCGAUUGCGAAGGCAGCUCACUAAACUAUCAUUGACGCUGAGGGACGAAAGCGUGGGGAGCGAACAGG
This 253-nucleotide unclassified non-coding RNA is filed under the name uncultured Cryomorphaceae bacterium. RNAcentral describes it as "contains 16S-23S intergenic spacer region". It matches the Rfam family "Bacterial small subunit ribosomal RNA", at positions 524 to 776 of the family's 1533-position model. The record is from RNAcentral. Lineage: Bacteria; Pseudomonadati; Bacteroidota; Flavobacteriia; Flavobacteriales; Cryomorphaceae.